GAAAAAGUACGCAAGAACUGCUAAUUCAUGCUUCCAUGCCCAAAAACAUGGCUUUUUCA
Molecule: transfer RNA, 59 nt
Filed under: Crocuta crocuta (spotted hyena)
Lineage: Eukaryota; Metazoa; Chordata; Mammalia; Carnivora; Hyaenidae
Also listed under: 1 other name
Description: tRNA-Ser
Source: RNAcentral